Symphalangus syndactylus (siamang) is the source of this 904-nucleotide long non-coding RNA. RefSeq lists it as uncharacterized. The record is from RefSeq and is a predicted model, not a curated record. Lineage: Eukaryota; Metazoa; Chordata; Mammalia; Primates; Hylobatidae.
AAAAGGGAAUGACCAGAAGUCCCAGGUAGCCUGCAGUGCAGCAGGCCUAAAGAGCAACCAGUCACAGAUAGGAAUAGAACAAUGGAGGCCUCAAAAAGGCUGUUUUUAAAAGAAGGGGAAAAAAAACCCGAACUGUGAAACGGACAGAUUAGCUGAUGUAUUAACCAUAGAAUAUACAGAAAAAUUUUACAACUCUGGGAGAGGAAAUGAUCAACUGAAACAAGUACAUAGAAAACAAAACAAAGAGAAAAACAAGGCAUGCCCAUCAACCUGGGAGUAGGAAAAAAGCCCGAGAAUGCUGGAUUUUCCCUGACGUGAAGGAAGGCAAAGUGACAACCCCACAAAUCAAAUAGCUGCCAUGUCGUGAGCUGCCCAGUGGAGAGACCAACCAGGCAAGCAACUGAGGGAGGCCUCUGGCCAACAGCCAGGGUGGAAAUGAGCCCUCAGUCCAACAACCCAUGAGGACCGAAGCCUCCCAACAGCCACAUGAGUGAGCUUGGAAGCAGAUCCUCCCCAGCAGAGCCUUAGAUGACGGCUGCCUCAGUCAACACUCAACUGCAGUCUUGUGAGAGACCCCAAGCCAGAGGACCCAGAUAAGUGUUGCCCAGAUUCCUGACUCACAGAAACUGUGAGACAAUAUAUGUUUGUUGUUUUAAGCUGCUAAGGUGGAGUGACUUGAUAUGUAGUCAUAGAUAAUUAAUACAAUGGAUGUUGACGUCUUGAGAACAACAGGAGACAAGGUUGAGAAGAAAAUCAUGAACCAGGAGCAGUGGUCAUCAUUAAAGAUAAAGCAGAGCUCCUUCCACUUUACUGUGCAGACAGAACACUUAGGGGUCUUGUGAGAAUGCAGAGUCUGACUCAGUAGUUUUGGGACCUACCCGUAGUUUGUUGUACAUUUCUUCUU